RNAcentral lists this long non-coding RNA (1144 nucleotides) under Manihot esculenta (cassava). RNAcentral describes it as "long non-coding RNA (MESC_LNC001396)". The record is from RNAcentral. Lineage: Eukaryota; Viridiplantae; Streptophyta; Magnoliopsida; Malpighiales; Euphorbiaceae.
GCUGCAGAAUUUUUGGUGAGGGGAGAAGAUGCUGAGUAGCUGAUCAGAAGAUGCCCCUUACUGGUUUGGAGGUUGCUCUUUUAUAGCUGAAGAAUUCCAUCCUUCUAGGGUUUUGAAAUCCCUUUUUAAUUUGGCUUGUGAUUCCUCUUUUAAUGUUGAAUUUAAUUGCAACUGGAAUUCCUUAAGUGAGAAACUCUUUCGUGGCUCUUGGAAUUGUUUUGGUAGUGAUUGAGUUGGAUUUGGACUUCUGAAAACUCAAAAUUCGGUUUCCUGAACAAUUUCCUGCUCUGCUGUAUUUUCUGCUGUCAUUGUGAUCGGAGCAGUGAUUUGGGCAAAUCACUGGUCCAAUCACUUUCUGCAAGUCUAUGCUAUCUCUGCUAGUGAUUUGGGCAGUUUCUGCGAGUGAUUUGGGCAAAUCACUGGUCCAAUUACUUCUGUUUGUUGCCUCCAGGUUUCUGCUUCAGCUUGAUUUGGGCAGUGAUUUGGGCAAAUCACUGACCCAAUCACUUUUCUGUCAUUUUUUGCACUUUUUCUCCAUUUUUCCAAUUUCUUCCUUUUCUGUAAAAACAAGGUAAAAACCAUAAAUUAAGCUAAAGAAUGUGUAAAUAAACAAUAAUAAAGAUCAUAAAAAUAUGGCUAAAUUAUGCUUGAUCAAAUACCCCACACCUAACUUUUUGCUUGUCCUCAAGCAACAAAUAACUUAGUCAAUCAAGCUCCUUUUUUCUUUUGAGCCUAAGUACCACUUAAUCAGCCCCCCUAGACUCCUAAAUUGAAGUAUCACAGUAUAGAAUACAUGCACCAAGGUUGUUUUCUUCUUUUCCUUGUUUCCCCUCACCUACCAUGGUCAAGAAAAAGGUUUUUGAUUUAAUCAUACUUAUUCUCUUUAUAUGAGCUCAAUGCAACCUCUAAGAGUGACUUGCCCUUCUUUGAGUAUUUUAUUUUAUUUUAUUCAGCAGCACUUUUUAUUCUUGCCUGAAAAAGUCACUAACCUUUUUACGCGAAUGUGCAUAUUGGUGAUACCCACCCCCGGUUACUCAGUCAGUCACUUGUUCAAGUGGCUACUAGCUCUGUUCAUAGCUUAUUUGGCCAUUGAAACAGGUUUAUGAUUUGUGCUUUGUGCUGGGUUUUUUUUUUUUCUUUUNNN